UCAAAAAAUAGUUUAAAUAAAAUAGCAGGUUUGGAUACUGCAGAUGAGAGUAGCUUUUUUGAGCC
Molecule: transfer RNA, 65 nt
Filed under: Chaetogammarus marinus
Lineage: Eukaryota; Metazoa; Arthropoda; Malacostraca; Amphipoda; Gammaridae
Description: tRNA-Pro
Source: RNAcentral